CAGUAGCCGCGGGAAUACGAGGGGGGCAAGCGUUGUUCGGAAUUAUUGGGCGUAAAGGGUGCGUAGGCGGUUUGAUAAGUCAUCUGUGAAAUCUCUGGGCUCAACCCAGAGUCUGCAGGCGAAACUGUCGGGCUUGAGUAUGGGAGAGGUGAGUGGAAUUUCCGGUGUAGCGGUGAAAUGCGUAGAUAUCGGAAGGAACACCUGUGGCGAAAGCGGCUCACUGGACCAUAACUGACGCUGAUGCACGAAAGCUAGGGGAGCAAACAGGAUUAGAUACCCCCGUAGUCCCUGUCUCUUAUCC
Molecule: ribosomal RNA, 301 nt
Filed under: uncultured bacterium
Lineage: Bacteria
Description: partial 16S ribosomal RNA
Rfam family: Bacterial small subunit ribosomal RNA
Source: RNAcentral